This 465-nucleotide ribosomal RNA is filed under the name uncultured bacterium. RNAcentral describes it as "partial 16S ribosomal RNA". It matches the Rfam family "Bacterial small subunit ribosomal RNA", at positions 338 to 795 of the family's 1533-position model. The record is from RNAcentral.
CCUACGGGUGGCAGCAGUAGGGAAUCUUCCACAAUGGACGAAAGUCUGAUGGAGCAACGCCGCGUGAGUGAAGAAGGGUUUCGGCUCGUAAAGCUCUGUUGGUAGUGAAGAAAGAUAGAGGUAGUAACUGGCCUUGAUUUGACGGUAAUUACUUAGAAAGUCACGGCUAACUACGAGCCAGUAGCCGCGGUAAUACGUAGGUGGCAAGCGUUGUCCGGGUUUAUUGGGCGUAAAGCGAGUGCAGGCGGUUCAAUAAGUCUGAUGUGAAAGCCUUCGGCUCAACCGGAGAAUUGCAUCAGAAACUGUUGAACUUGAGUGCAGAAGUGGAGAGUGGAACUCCAUGUGUAGCGGUGGAAUGCGUAGAUAUAUGGAAGAACACCAGUGGCGAAGGCGGCUCUCUGGGCUGCAACUGACGCUGAGGCUCGAAAGCAUGGGUAGCGAACAGGAUUAGAUACCCUAGUAGUC